AGGGGGAGGCGAAAGAGCCCCUGCGCCUUUAAGGCUGCCUAGCUGGCGAGCCCUGCGUGGAGCGCACCGAGUGUUGGGAGCAGGCCGGGGACAGGCAGUGGCACAGGACGGAAGGUGUUUCUUGAGACAAUUGCUCUGUGAUGGCCAAUGGCAUGUUGUGGAAUCAAGAGGAACUUCAGGUUACCUUCAACACUACAGACUGUAAAGCAGCACAGGACCUGGAAGCAGCAUGUUGUUCCUACAGACACUGGCCCAGAUGUUCAGAAGUGCCUGUGCAAAUGAAGUGCACAGGGUGAUCAAGUGUAUUGCAAGUGGAUCUUCAUAUUCACAAGAGAUUGAGGCAGAUUUCAAAUUAAGUCUCAAGGGUUAACUGCUGCAGAAAUACCAAGAUAAUUGCUGAACGUUAUGUAUUAUCACCACAAAUCUUGCUCAUAGACCUUUUUAUGCACAAUUCAUGCUUAGAAGCUGUCUGACAUACAGAGAGACCAGAAUGACAUUUCCUAUGUA
Long non-coding RNA from Mauremys mutica (yellowpond turtle), 507 nucleotides. RefSeq lists it as uncharacterized. NCBI's taxonomy places the organism in Eukaryota, Metazoa, Chordata, Testudines, Geoemydidae. The transcript has 4 exons. The record is from RefSeq and is a predicted model, not a curated record.